This 1807-nucleotide transfer RNA is filed under the name Felis catus (domestic cat). RNAcentral describes it as "lncRNA (ENSFCAG00000049154.1)". The stretch from base 24 to 97 matches the Rfam family "tRNA". The record is from RNAcentral. Lineage: Eukaryota; Metazoa; Chordata; Mammalia; Carnivora; Felidae.
CUGGCGUACCAAGUGGCACCGGAGUCUCUGUGGCGCAAUCGGUUAGCGCGUUCGGCUGUUAACCGAAAGGUUGGUGGUUCGAGCCCACCCAGGGACGGUCCCGUCUUUUGCGGGCUUGUCGCCGGUACUUUUGCACAAUUCUUGGAGUUCAGACCUACAGACGACUCGGAGGUGGAUAUCCGGGGGUCGAGGGAAAAGAAACCGCCCAACUCGCUUCGCCGCCCACCCUGCGUGCGGCUCUUCAGCUUCCGGGAGCGCUGGCGGCCCCUCCCCCAGCCGUCCCCUGCUGGAGACGGGCAGGUGGGCUCUUCCUGCCCUUCCCCGGGGUCGGCGGGAGGGUCCAGCGCCUUAAAGCCCGCGCGUACUUUCACUUGCGAUCUCCCGGUUCCCAAACUCAGGCCGCUGGGUGCCCAAAGGAGCCCUCGUCCUCCUCGCUCAUUUCCUGAAGCUCAGGCCGCACAAGUCCCUUCCCUGCCUCGCCAGGCUCCCGCGGGCUCCGAGCGGACCGACAGACUCUGGCGGCGAGCGCCGAGAGCGCGCAGAGCCCGGGCGGGCCCCUCAGCCGCGCGCGCGCGCGGCCGCGUCCGGGGCUCGAACCCGCCUCCGCAGCUCCGAGCGGCCCCGGAGGCCCCGGCGGCGGGAGCGCGGCCCGAGCUGCUCUCGUUCUGCUUCAGGACCCCUGAAAUGUCAGAGGUCGCGUGCAUGUGUACAUGUGAAUUAGGGCUCACAUUUAGUGAGUGUUCAGUCCUGGCCAGUCACUGCUCUGAGUGCUUUCAUGGAAGAAAGUGCGAUCCUUACAACAACCCUUCCAGGUAGGUCCUACUGUUGCCACUGUACAGAUGAGCUACCCGAAGCAAGGUGCAGCGGGCCGAUUUGCCUGAAUCUGUACUGUAUCACUAGCGUGGUACAGAUUUGAACCCAGGCAGUCAGGCUCCAGAGCCCAUGCUCCUCACUGUUGUACUAUACUUCUCCUUCUGACUUAGAGCUCCUUGAUUAAUUAGUUAAUUUAAAACCAAAGGUGAUAUUUUUAAUGAAUUUUUGUGAAGUUUCAUUAACAUUUUGUUCCAGAGUUCAUGAAGGAAAAAAGAAACCCAUCGAACAUUCAUGGAAUACUAAAGGGCAUUGUUAAAUUGCACAUUCAUUGUGCUGCUUCGUUUUAUUGAAAUGAAAACUGGGUAGGAACAUGAAAUCUUAAUGUGAAAUGGAUCUUUGGGAAACAAUUUGAUAGCAUUUCCUUGGCGAAGGCCAGAUUAGAAACAAAGGCAGGCUGGAAUAGCCCAGGCAAAAUAGGGAAGAAAGAUAGAAAGAACAGAUUCGAGCAUGGGGGCUAAUGUAGAGCCUAAGGACUCUUGGACUGAUGUUUGGCCUUUGGGAUACACCCAUACAGACCCCGAUUUCGGGACACUUUGGGGAGAUAGCACCACGGUUUGCCCAGGACAGGUGCCUAGGCGGCCGUUUUAAAUUUGAUCCUAAAAUUUUUUCCGUAUGUUCAAUCUCAUCCUAUGUCGGGGAUUAAUAGGAUUUAGAGGCCGGAAAGUAAAGAGGAGGGAUUAAAUGAGAAUGGAGGCGGGGCAAGGAGUGCAAAACUGCCCUCUAAGGUAAGUAGUUGAUUUUAUUAUGCAGGCAAGUGCUUAGUGCAUUUCCUUGUACUCGCUGUUGCAUACAGAGAAGACAGGUGGGAAGCCUUUUAGAAAAAUCGCUUAAAUAUUUAUGGAGAAAUUGGCUUUGUAAAAUUUCAGUGUGUACUACUUAUAGAUGUUGCAAUUCAUGCUACUUCUGGGGAGCGUUACUUGGUUUUCAGUGUCUU